AGGCGAAGCGCCGGAUCCGGCAUGGAGAGGGCGGGGCUGCUCAGGCCAUUCCCCCCGAGGGCGCGGGCCACGGCCAGGAUCACCAUGGUCUCGAGGUAGCCGCCGUCCGCAUCCGCAACCGUCGCUAAUUGCUAGUGCUUCGAAAGUCAAAUCCUCUGCAGCUUCGCGACGGAGCUGCUCGAGAUAAGGUCCAAGGAGCCGUCGCCGUCGCUCCACAUGCUGGUCGUCCCUGGCAAUCUAGGUAGGUGACCGCCGCCGGCGCGCUAUAAGUGAUCAUUUGUUGAGGUGCUGAUGCGUGAAGAAGGAUCGGUCAGUCAGGGGCUUAAUGUUGCUCUGAUGUGUCUGUGUGGCACGUAUUGUUGGAUUCUACAAGGACUUUGUCAAAGCCCUCUACGAAGACCUCGGUGGGCAGGCAUCUGUUACGGGUUGAUUCAUAUCGUCAUGUUGAAAUCGACAAGGGACGGUUACAUCAAUCAUUUAUAUUUAUGGAAGACAGUUCACUGAUAACUAGCUUGGAUCAUACCUCCAGAACGUGUAAUGUUUUUGUAGGGUGACAAGUUGUCGCAUCUCGAGCAUGUUUCAUAGGAGAGUGGAAUGAAGUUCAUUGUACUGUUCGGAUAGUAGCAGAUGUGCCAUUGUUCUAUUGUGCAAUUCUGUCUGUUCUUGCUAUAUUUCAGUGUAAAGAAAUGUAUUCAUGAGAUGAGUUAUUGUGUUAUGUAAACAUGAAAGAUGUAUUAUGUGAUGUUAUAUGA
Hordeum vulgare subsp. vulgare (domesticated barley) is the source of this 752-nucleotide long non-coding RNA. RefSeq lists it as uncharacterized. Lineage: Eukaryota; Viridiplantae; Streptophyta; Magnoliopsida; Poales; Poaceae. The transcript has 3 exons. The record is from RefSeq and is a predicted model, not a curated record.